This 468-nucleotide ribosomal RNA is filed under the name uncultured bacterium. RNAcentral describes it as "partial 16S ribosomal RNA". It matches the Rfam family "Bacterial small subunit ribosomal RNA", at positions 28 to 507 of the family's 1533-position model. The record is from RNAcentral.
GACGAACGCUGGCGGCGUGCUUAACACAUGCAAGUCGAACGGAAAGGCCCUGCUUUUGUGGUGUUCUCGAGUGGCGAACGGGUGAGUAACACGUGAGUAACCUGCUCUUGAUUUUGGGAUAACUUCAGGAAACUGGGGCUAAGACCGUAUAGGAGCUCCUGCUGCAUGGUGGGGGGUGGAAAUUCUCGGCGGUUGGGGAUGGAUGCGCGGCUGAUCAGCUUGUUGGUUGGGUAGUGGCUUACCAAGGGUUUGACGGGUAGCCGGCCUGAGAGGGUGACCGGCGACCUUGCGCCUGAGGUACGGACCAGACUCCUACGGGAGGCAGUAGUCGCGAAUAUUGCACAAUCGGCGGAAGCCUGAUGCAGCAACCCCGCGUGCGGGAUGACGGCCUUCGGGUUGUAAACAGCUUUCGCCUGUGACGAAGCGUGAGUGACGGUAAUGGGUAAAGAAGCACCGGCUAACUACGUG